This is a long non-coding RNA of Acanthopagrus latus (yellowfin seabream), 1831 nucleotides long. RefSeq lists it as uncharacterized. The record is from RefSeq and is a predicted model, not a curated record. Lineage: Eukaryota; Metazoa; Chordata; Actinopteri; Spariformes; Sparidae. The transcript is spliced from 2 exons.
AUACAGUAUAUUAUUUCCGUGCCCCAUGACAGUUCAGCUGCUGAAGUCAUUUUAUAAAUUAAAAGAGAGGACCACAGAGGUGGUGCAGGAGCAACACACUUGCCCACCACGUAAAUUUGAGAGAGAACAAUUUGUGAAAAGCACCAGACUUUCCAAUAUACAAUUAACUAAACCAAAUACAAUUAAAUUGUUUGAGACAGAUUCACAUCUAAAUUAAUAUUAACUGACAAACUUAAAUAGGCUUUUUCACAGCUGGAUAAACACAGGUGAAUAUAUUGUCAUAAACUAACAAUGGCUUAUGCUAAUAUAGUAAUCAAUUGUAUAGUUCAUUAUAUUUCUAUUCUAUUCUAUCUUGUUUAUUUUCAUUAUAAACAUUUUUUGUACAUUUCUACUCAUGCAGUGCUAUUUGUGCUGGAUGGAAGGAUUAAUAAAGGUAGAUCUUACCUUAUCUUAUCUUAAUGUUUUAGAGCCUGCUACUAGAUUUUUUUUGUGGUGGAAGCAGGAUCUUUUACAAUUUAAACAAUAAACUUCAAUUAGUGCACCAAAACAGCAAAAUGUCAUGGCAAUCUAAUAUUUGAAGUUCUGCAAGAUUUUUAAAAACAUUAUUAAUAUCGGCACAUAUCAGCCAACAUACACUACUCAAAAGCGUUAGGGAUAGUGGGAUAGAUAUGUAAUAACAAUAACAACAAUUAACAAUCAAGUGCAAAUCCAAGCGUUCCUAAAUAAUUUUGAGUGUUAGAAGAAGCAGUAAAAUAUCUUCAAAAGAGAUGUGUCUUAUUUGUCCAAUUUAAGAAUACAAUUUGGCAUUGAUUUAAAAAAAUGCCUUUGUCUUAAAUUUUUGCAAGAUAAAUACAUAACACAUUAGCAAUCCAAAAAAUGUGCUACAGGAAGUCAGUUUUAUGCUACUUUUUAUCAGUAUUUUCACACAUUUCAGCAAGUCAGCAUGAAGAAACAUUUCCUGUGUAAAUGAAACAAACAACAGGGUAAUUUAUUAAUAGUCCCUAAAUCAGUCUCCAGCGCAGCGGGACGUUCUUGGUGGCGAGCUAACCGUCCUCCAGCUGCCAACACCGGGUGAAACCGAGUAAGAGGCGCCGCUGGGUCUCUCCAACCUACAACUAACCUCACUUCGAAGCAGUAGCGAGCAUCUUGAUUGGAAUAUCUGACCGGCUCUGCAGCAAGAGAUUAAGACUGCACAAACAUCAUUGGUAACCAUCUUCCGAGCGUCAGUGACAUCGGAGAAGCGAGAAAUCUUCACGGAGCCCACCCAGCAACACUCUGUUCACACUGCUGCCAUCUGCCGAAAGAUACAGAGGUACCUGCUGCCGUACAGCCAGACUAUAGAGAAGCUCCUGUCAUCAGGCUGUUUGACUCCUGAGCAUUUGUACAACACACCUAUAUCUUUUGGCUCCCUGUGUGUCAAAGGACAGAUUUUCUAGGGCAGGUGAAGCAGCUUUUAGUGUCUAUGCUCCACACCUGAACAACAAGCUUUCUUAAUAGCUGAGAUCUCUAAAAAGUGUCACAGAUUCAUUUAAAUCAGGUCUUAAAAAUGACUGUUUACCAUGGCUUUUAAAUAAUUAGAUUCAUAACUUAUUUUUAAUCUGUAACGUUAUAUUCGCAUAUGUUUGCUUUUGUUUGAUCUGUUUCUUUGUCUCUGUAACUCUGAACUGCUUCAUGUCUGAAUGGUGUUACAUAAAUAAACUUGCCUCACCUUUAUACUACAAAUGUUGCCAAGUUAUGACCUUUGACCUCUUCAGUCCAAAUGAAUAAUUUUAACUAAAGUUUUUUAAAUGUUCAAAGAAAUAAAUAAUCGAUUAAUAUUUUUGUUUUUGGA